GGGCCCGCCUUUAAGGCCGCCGGGGGGCAUCAGCCCCCGGGCCCGCGCCCGCCGGAGACACCACGAACUCUGUCUGAUCUAGUGAAGUCUGAGUUGAUUGUAUCGCAAUCAGUUAAAACUUUCAACAAUGGAUCUCUUGGUUCCGGCAUCGAUGAAGAACGCAGCGAAAUGCGAUAACUAGUGUGAAUUGCAGAAUUCCGUGAAUCAUCGAGUCUUUGAACGCACAUUGCGCCCCCUGGUAUUCCGGGGGGCAUGCCUGUCCGAGCGUCAUUGCUGCCCAUCAAGCACGGCUUGUGUGUUGGGUCGUCGUCCCCUCUUCGGGGGGGACGGGCCCCAAAGGCAGCGGCGGCACCGCGUCCGAUCCUCGAGCGUAUGGGGCUUUGUCACCCGCUCUGUAGGCCCGGCCGGCGCUUGCCGAACGCAAAACAACCAUUCUUUC
RNAcentral lists this ribosomal RNA (439 nucleotides) under Aspergillus tamarii. Its description in RNAcentral is "eukaryotic LSU rRNA". The stretch from base 117 to 270 matches the Rfam family "5.8S ribosomal RNA". The record is from RNAcentral. Lineage: Eukaryota; Fungi; Ascomycota; Eurotiomycetes; Eurotiales; Aspergillaceae.